UGAGUAGGCGGUUAUAUAUGUCAGGUGUAAAAGGCUAUGGCUUAACCAUGGUUAGCACUUGAAACUGUAUGACUUGAGUGCAGGAGAGGUAAGUGGAAUUCCUAGUGUAGCGGUGAAAUGCGUAGAUAUUAGGAGGAACACCAGUGGCGAAGGCGACUUACUGGACUGUAACUGACGCUGAGUCACGAAAGCGUGGGUAGCAAACAGGAUUAGAUACCCUGGUAGUCCACGCUGUAAACGAUGAGUGCUAGGUGUUGGCCAGCGAUGGUCAGUGCCGCAGUUAACACAAUAAGCACUCCGCCUGGGGAGUACGUACGCAAGUAUGAA
RNAcentral lists this ribosomal RNA (327 nucleotides) under uncultured Sedimentibacter sp. Its description in RNAcentral is "bacterial SSU rRNA". It matches the Rfam family "Bacterial small subunit ribosomal RNA", at positions 568 to 898 of the family's 1533-position model. Lineage: Bacteria; Bacillati; Bacillota; Tissierellia. The record is from RNAcentral.